AUAGGGUUACAUGAAACUUGCAAUACUACAUGAAUUCAAAAUGCAGGAAAGUUUAUGUAGUAGCCUUUGGAUACAACACAGGAAAAACACAGGAAUUCGAAUCGAGAGAGACACACACAUAAACACACAUACAGGAAAGUUUUCAUAAGGUCCUCCAGAGACACACACAUAAACACACAUACAGGAAAGUUUUCAUAAGGUCCUUCAGAAUUCCUAUGGAUUCAUGCAUCCCAUAAGAAUUCCAAGGAAUUUAUAGGGUGCAAUCCUUUGUUCCAAAGGGUCACAUAGGAAAUUUUCAUAUAGGAUCGAAAUCCUUCAAAAUUCCUAUGGUUUUCCUUUGCUCCAAAGG
RNAcentral lists this long non-coding RNA (349 nucleotides) under Setaria italica (foxtail millet). Its description in RNAcentral is "long non-coding RNA (SITA_LNC000836)". Lineage: Eukaryota; Viridiplantae; Streptophyta; Magnoliopsida; Poales; Poaceae. The record is from RNAcentral.